GACGAACGCUGGCGGCGUGCCUAAUACAUGCAAGUAGAACGCUGAAGGAGGAGCUUGCUUCUCUGGAUGAGUUGCGAACGGGUGAGUAACGCGUAGGUAACCUGCCUGGUAGCGGGGGAUAACUAUUGGAAACGAUAGCUAAUACCGCAUAAUAGUAGAUGUUGCAUGACAUUUGUUUAAAAGGUGCAAUUGCAUCACUACCAGAUGGACCUGCGUUGUAUUAGCUAGUUGGUGGGGUAACGGCUCACCAAGGCGACGAUACAUAGCCGGCCUGAGAGGGUGGACGGGCAACAUGGGAACGAGACAAGGCCCAGGACCCUAAGGGGAGGAGCAGGAGGGAAUUUUCGGCAAUUGAGCGAAGGCUGACCGGAGAACGGCGCGGGGGGGAAGGAGGUUUUCGGAUCGUAAAGCUCUGUUGUAAGGGAAGAACGAGUGUGGGAGGUGAAAGUGCACACUGUGACGGUAUCUAACCAGAAAGCGACGGCUAACUACGUG
Molecule: ribosomal RNA, 495 nt
Filed under: uncultured bacterium
Lineage: Bacteria
Description: partial 16S ribosomal RNA
Rfam family: Bacterial small subunit ribosomal RNA
Source: RNAcentral